This 328-nucleotide unclassified non-coding RNA is filed under the name soil metagenome. RNAcentral's name for it is "partial contains 5.8S ribosomal RNA, internal transcribed spacer 2, and large subunit ribosomal RNA". The stretch from base 1 to 120 matches the Rfam family "5.8S ribosomal RNA", at positions 35 to 154 of the family's 154-position model. The record is from RNAcentral.
GAUGAAGAACGUAGCGAAAUGCGAUAAGUAAUGUGAAUUGCAGAAUUCAGUGAAUCAUCGAAUCUUUGAACGCACAUUGCGCCCCUUGGUAUUCCGAGGGGCAUGCCUGUUCGAGCGUCAUUAUAACCCUCAAGCUCAGCUUGGUGUUGGGGCCUGCUGCACUGGCAGCCCUUAAAAUCAGUGGCGGCGCCAUCUGUCUCUAAGCGUAGUAAUUCUUCUCGCUAUGGAGUCCUGGUGGAUGCUUGCCAUCAACCCCCAAUUUUUCUAUGGUUGACCUCGGAUCAGGUAGGGAUACCCGCUGAACUUAAGCAUAUCAAUAAGCGGAGGA